RNAcentral lists this ribosomal RNA (122 nucleotides) under Citrullus lanatus (watermelon). Lineage: Eukaryota; Viridiplantae; Streptophyta; Magnoliopsida; Cucurbitales; Cucurbitaceae. The record is from RNAcentral.
GGGUGCGAUCAUACUAGCACUAAUGCACCGGAUCCCAUCAGAACUCCGUAGUUAAGCGUGCUUGGUCGAGAGUAGUACUAAGUUGGGUGACCACUUGGGAAGUCCUCGUGUUGCACCCCUUU